UGACCAAUUAUAGCAUUCCAUAUAGGCAUUAACCCUUAAUUCUAGUUCUGUGGAACUGUAAAAUAUUCAAUACCGAAAUCGUCAAAACGAUGAAAUUUAGAAAACUGAGAGGCUGCUUAUGCAGGGCACGCCCUCCGUACCGUAAUGGAAUGAACCUUGCCCUCGACUUGCUAAACCUUAACAGCACUCUCUAUCGAGGAUAAGAAAGUACUCGGAAGAACAAACGUGCGUUUUUCCGUGGAACCUACAUCAGCUGCUGCUCCAAGCAUAUGGAGGUUUCCAAUAUCUGAGAACUGUCAACAGGCCCAUUAUCCAUUUGAAACCUGAUCAUCAUUAAACUCCAAAAUCACUCAAUUUUGGCGAAGGAAGGCCAGGAAAAAAAGGCAAGCGAAAUUUCAUUUAAUACCGAGCGAAAACAAAGAAAAACAAAAAAAAACAGCUAAAAAGAGGUGAUACGAGACAGCUGUUUGCGAUCGAUAAGAUCAGCCAAAGCGAUAAGCUCGUCUUCAUUUCCGCGAAAGGGGGCUCACCAUGAGUGCACCCACAAUUACAGAGCUUAAAAUCUAAAUGCAGGGAUCAAUACUUGAUCCGUUAUUGUUCUGCAUUCAUGUAAAUGACCUGCCAAUAGUAUUGUCUGACUCUAAUGUGAACAUGUACGUCGAUGCUCGUGUACGUCCAAUUAUAUGUUAGUCGAUCGUUAAAUACAAUAGAUGAGAGCAAUAUAGGACUUGAGAAAAUCAGUGCAUGGGCAACCCACAAUCACCUAUGCCUAAAUCCAACCAAGUCAAAAUGUUUGAUUACACAUAAAAAAGUGUCGCGCGGCAGACCAGAGUAUCACAUCACAUCCCCAUAUAUUUUGGUAGGUCCUUUCGUGGUAGGUGCAGUAGGUAGUGGCUAAGUUUCUCAUUGCGUUCCUUGCACAUUAUUUUCGAGGUUCUGCAGGUGGUGGUACUCCUCCACCUGCUUUCGGUUUGUGAUCUGGCCUGCUUCUAGAUCGCUUUGCAGCAUUCUAAGGGAGACAUGCACGUUCUCGGUUCUCCUAUUCUCCAGCCCGACGACUGCUUUAGCUAGUACGUCCGCCGCCUCGUUUCCUUCGAUGCCUUGGUGACUGGGAACCCAAUAGAUCCGCACUGACUUUGUUGCUUAUGGUAUCUAGUGCCUCCCUGCUCGCCAUGCCGCCUCCAUGGAUCUGAUUGCCGCUUGGCUGUCGACGAAUGUCGACGGAUGGCGAAAACUUCCGCCUGAAAUAUGCUGCAUCGGUCCGGUAGCUUAUCCGACUGGCAAAAAUC
This 1289-nucleotide small RNA is filed under the name Drosophila pseudoobscura pseudoobscura. Its description in RNAcentral is "GA32228". The record is from RNAcentral. Lineage: Eukaryota; Metazoa; Arthropoda; Insecta; Diptera; Drosophilidae.